AGAGUUUGAUCCUGGCUCAGGACGAACGCUGGCGGCGUGCUUAACACAUGCAAGUCGAACGAGAGGACAAGAGAAGCUUGCUUCUUUUGGAAUCGAGUGGCAAACGGGUGAGUAACACGUAAACAACCUGCCUUCAGGAUGGGGACAACAGACGGAAACGACUGCUAAUACCGAAUACGCUUGGAAGACCGCAUGAUCUUCCAAGGAAAGGGUGGCCUCUACCUGUAAGCUAUCGCCUGAAGAGGGGUUUGCGUCUGAUUAGGCAGUUGGUGAGGUAACGGCCCACCAAACCUACGAUCAGUAGCCGGUCUGAGAGGAUGAACGGCCACACUGGAACUGAGACACGGUCCAGACUCCUACGGGAGGCAGCAGUGGGGAAUCUUCCGCAAUGGGCGAAAGCCUGACGGAGCAACGCCGCGUGAGUGAUGACGGCCUUCGGGUUGUAAAGCUCUGUGAUCGGGGACGAACGGUCCGUAAGUCAAUACCUUAUGGAAGUGACGGUACCCGAAUAGCAAGCCACGGCUAACUACGUGCCAGCAGCCGCGGUAAUACGUAGGUGGCAAGCGUUGUCCGGAAUUAUUGGGCGUAAAGCGCGCGCAGGCGGCUUUCUAAGUCCAUCUUAAAAGUGCGGGGCUUAACCCCGUGAUGGGAUGGAAACUGGAAAGCUGGAGUAUCGGAGAGGAAAGUGGAAUUCCUAGUGUAGCGGUGAAAUGCGUAGAGAUUAGGAAGAACACCGGUGGCGAAGGCGACUUUCUGGACGACAACUGACGCUGAGGCGCGAAAGCGUGGGGAGCAAACAGGAUUAGAUACCCUGGUAGUCCGCACGGUAAACGAUGGAUGCUCGCUGUGUGCCCUUGGGUACGCGGCCAAGCGAAAGCGUUAAGCAUCCCACCUGGGGAGUACGCCGGCAACGGUGAAACUCAAAGGAAUUGACGGGGGCCCGCACAAGCGGAGGAACAUGUGGUUUAAUUCGAUGAUACGCGAGGAACCUUACCCGGGCUUGAAUUGCAGGAGAACGAUACAGAGAUGUUGAGGUCCUUCGGGACUCCUGUGAAGGUGCUGCAUGGUUGUCGUCAGCUCGUGCCGUGAGGUGUCGGCUUAAGUGCCAUAACGAGCGCAACCCCUCUCCGUAGUUGCCAUCAGGUGAUGCUGGGCACUCUGCGGACACUGCCGCCGUAAGGUGUGAGGAAGGUGGGGAUGACGUCAAAUCAGCACGGCCCUUACGUCCGGGGCUACACACGUGUUACAAUGGGUCAUACAGAGUGUUGUGCGUAUGCAAAUACGUUCUAAUCAUUAAAAUGAUCCUCAGUUCGGAUUGGGGUCUGCAACCCGACCCCAUGAAGCUGGAUUCGCUAGUAAUCGCGCAUCAGCCAUGGCGCGGUGAAUACGUUCCCGGGCCUUGUACACACCGCCCGUCAAGCCAUGAAAGCCGGGGGCGCCUGAAGUCCGUAACCGCAAGGAUCGGCCUAGGGUGAAACCGGUGAUUGGGGCUAAGUCGUAACAAGGUA
Molecule: ribosomal RNA, 1508 nt
Filed under: metagenome
Description: bacterial SSU rRNA
Rfam family: Bacterial small subunit ribosomal RNA
Source: RNAcentral